GUGAGGAAUAUUGGACAAUGGGCGCAAGCCUGAUCCAGCCAUGCCGCGUGCAGGAAGACGCAUCUAUGGUGUGUAAACUGCUUUUGUACGGGAAGAAACACUCCCUCGUGAGGGAGCUUGACGGUACCGUAAGAAUAAGGAUCGGCUAACUCCGUGCCAGCAGCCGCAGUAAUACGGAGGAUCCAAGCGUUAUCCGGAAUCAUUGGGUUUAAAGGGUCCGUAGGCGGUUUAAUAAGUCAGUGGUGAAAGCCCAUCGCUCAACGAUGGAACGGCCAUUGAUACUGUUAGACUUGAAUUACAAGGAAGUAACUAGAAUAUGUAGUGUAGCGGUGAAAUGCUUAGAUAUUACAUGGAAUACCAAUUGCGAAGGCAGGUUACUACUUGUGGAUUGACGCUGAUGGACGAAAGCGUGGGGAGCGAACAGGAUUAGAAACCCGGGUAGUCC
This 445-nucleotide ribosomal RNA is filed under the name uncultured bacterium. RNAcentral describes it as "partial 16S ribosomal RNA". It matches the Rfam family "Bacterial small subunit ribosomal RNA", at positions 354 to 796 of the family's 1533-position model. The record is from RNAcentral.